This 484-nucleotide ribosomal RNA is filed under the name uncultured bacterium. Its description in RNAcentral is "partial 16S ribosomal RNA". It matches the Rfam family "Bacterial small subunit ribosomal RNA", at positions 28 to 507 of the family's 1533-position model. The record is from RNAcentral.
AUUGAACGCUGGCGGCAUGCCUUACACAUGCAAGUCGAACGGCAGCACGGAUGCUUGCACCUGGUGGCGCGGGGCGAACGGGUGAGUAGUACAUCGAAACGUGUCCUGUAGUGGGGGAUCGCCCGGCGACAGCCGGUUUUAUAGCACAUACGAUCUGCGAGAGAAAGCGGGGGCCCUGCAGGUCUCGCUCUCAGAGGUGGCGCGGGCGGAUUAGCUAGUUGGUGGGGUAAAGGCCUACCAAGGCGACGAUCCGUAGCUGGUCUGAGAGGAGGAGCAGCCACACUGGGACUGAGACACGGCCCAGACUCCUACGGGAGGCAGCAGUGGGGAAUUUUGGACAAUGGGCGAAAGCCUGAUCCAGCAAUGCCGCGUGUGUGAAGAAGGCCUUCGGGUUGUAAAGCACUUUUGGUUGGGAAGAAAGCCUUGGCCCUAAUACGGUGGGGUGAUGACGGUACCGGAAGAAUAAGCACCGGCUAACUACGUG